RNAcentral lists this small RNA (33 nucleotides) under Bombyx mori (domestic silkworm). RNAcentral's name for it is "ovarian small RNA-7568". Lineage: Eukaryota; Metazoa; Arthropoda; Insecta; Lepidoptera; Bombycidae. The record is from RNAcentral.
UCGCCGAAAGGCGAGUCCCCUGAGUGGGAGUUC